GGAGGGGUACCAAAGCGGUCAAAUGGGGCGGGCUGUAAACCCGUUGACUUCGGUCUUCGAAGGUUCGAAUCCUUCCCCCUCCA
Molecule: non-coding RNA, 83 nt
Organism: Candidatus Pelagibacter sp. RS40
Lineage: Bacteria; Pseudomonadati; Pseudomonadota; Alphaproteobacteria; Candidatus Pelagibacterales; Candidatus Pelagibacteraceae
Source: Rfam